GCAUUUUCGAUUCAAACAACAACAGAGAUGAUAUGCACACCUUUGUCCAUUAUCUGAAUCCCUGAGCUAUUCAUGGACCAUUUGAGGGGCGCCUACUCCAUACUGCGGUGCUCAACAGUGAUGCUGUACAGAGGAGAAAAAAACUAGGAAGUCUUCCCACGAUUUAAAUAUGAGUGGAAGGUGGGAUUGGUUUCCGUGUGAUCCUCCUGUCCCAGCUGCUCAUGGGACUGGACACUGCUUCUAGCUAGCAGUUAAUCUGCUUGAGGAUGAAACUGUCCACACACACUGGAUGGCUUCAGGCGAUCUUCCUGGGCUCACUUGGGAAAACGUGUGUCUAGGAGGCAGCAGAGGGAAGAGAUGGAUCUAAAAGGCUGGAGAUGCUUCCUAGGAUGGUGGCCCAGAUGAUGACAUGGGUUUGGAUUCCUUCCAUGAACAAAUGAAGCAGAAGAAAGCCUGUAUAGAGGAAGGAGUGGGGAAGCCUGGAAAUUUCCAAGUUUUGUUACUUGUUUCUUUUCAAGGCAUGUCUGUCUUUUCACUCUUUAAAUUCUUGAAGCAUUUCUCUAUCCUUCAAAUAACCACUUGUUGACAACAGAAAAAGACAGUGGGAGAAACCAAAGCACAGCUAUGACCAUUAUCUGCCCGCCCUUCAAGCUCUUACUACUUUUAUGAAAACUCAGAUCGCAUCAGCCCAUGAGAUACUGUCCCCUAGUUCCUGUAAAUGCUUACUACAUUUCCACUCACCUCUCUCGUCUCACUGUUCUCCCAGCAUGAGUUAUCUUCAUACAGAUCUGAGUGAAACCAUGCUUUUAAAACUCAUUCAUGGGUCCCAGUGCACCGAGCCUUUGCAGAUAAGACCUUCAAUGAAUAGUUAGAGUGAGACUAGGCUGAGUCAGGUUCACUAGUGAUUGAAUCUAAUAAAAUAGAACAUGGCUGUGUAGUAAAAAGUAAAGCAAGAUGCUAAAAUUAGCAUUAGGAGUAAUUCUCGAUUAUCCGCUGGUAUAGAAACAGUUUGAAGUGACAACCUCUCCUGAGAGUGAGUAAGCCAGGAUUAGCUAUCUCAAGAAGUUACAAUGUGUGACAUACUUAACGAAUUAAUUGAUUGCUGAGUACAGGAUGUAUGCUACGUAAUUUGGCUAUACAGAACCUACUCUAAGCUUCAUGUGUUAACAAUGAUCUAUACUAAGCACUUCCAUAUUUACAUCACCCGGAGGAAGAAGUAACUUCUUGUAGGAGUUCACUUUGGGGAAAAUCUGCUGUGGCAAGCAUUGCUGUAAGAGCGACCUGGGGAUUGUCUUUGAGGUCUAGCUUAGUAUGAAGCAAGGGCAUGCUUUGACAUCUUAGACAGGCCAAUUUAAUAGUAGAUCACAUUUGUCAAAAAAACACAUAGGUUUGCAGUUGAAGUUUGGAUAGAAGGCCAAUCUAUUGCAUGGUGUUAGACUUCAGCCAUCAAUAAUCGUCCUUUGACUCCCUAACCCCAUUAGUGACUCCCAAAGCAGACCAUUUGUAAUGAACUGACUUACAACGUAGCAACUUCUUUUCUAGUGUGAACAAUGCUGCCCUAUAAACCAAACAGUUGGCAAGGGGUAAUAGGAGGAGACACCUACAAGGGUAGCACACUCAGGUCACAGGAUCAUCCAGGGUCUGUUGUCAAAUGAACCCGUGCCUACUUUUCAUACAGGGGAAAACCAAGUGAGCAAGCAUAGAGGAAUUGCUCGUUUUUCUCUUUAAAACUUAUUACUGUGAUGUUUACCUUGGAGGCCUGAAAAAGGUGUCAGAUCCCCUGGAGCUUCUCAUACAAAUGGCUGUGAGUUCUGGAAAUGAAAUUCAGGUCCACUGGAAGAGCAGCACAUAUUCUUCAUCAUUAAGACAUCUCUUCAGCUGCUGUUUCUAUUUUUCAGUGAAUAAAAACUAUAACUUUUAAAGAGUGUAUGCUUUUACAGAGCAUCAAUCUAAGCCGAGUAAUGAGAGUACUAGAUUUUAGAUUCCUGGUACAUUAAAUAUGACCCUUAUUCUGUGUGGUAAAUUUAUCCUUCGAUUUGUACUUAUAAUUUUAAAAGCAUAUAUAAGCAUCGCAUAGUCCUGAGAACUAGGUUGGUAUUGUUUGCCUAUUUGUCUGGGAAUAAUAUGAAUGAAGAAAACAUGUUUGUACUUAUUUUAAGUGCUGAGAAUUUUGAAUUGUUGAAUCAGUUUUCCCAAGAAUCUUGAAAAUGAACAGUCAUGAUUUGACUGUAACAUAUCCACAGGGCAGUUCAAGGUCUUCACUACAUUCUGAGGCUUUUUGCAACUUAGUCAUGCUGGGAAUUAAAGUUGCCGUGGUUUUCUUUCUUGAUAUUUCCACUUGAUCAGCUAUCAGAUAUGAAGACUCCAUGUCCUGUUUCCUUCUAGCCUACAGCAGCCAGGGCUCCUGCUUCUCCUCAUGAGUAUGCUUCCUCUGUGUCAUGAAUCUGAAGAUGUUACUGGCAUGUCACUUACCCAUAGGGAAUCUAUGCAUAUAAUUUCGGGAAUUUCCCACAAAACCACUUCUUACUUCUCUAAAUUGAUCAAAAGAACCAUUAGAAUUAGUCUUUUCCUUUCUUUGCAGGGAGCUCAAGACUUUGCACAUGUGAGGAAAGUACUCUAUCAGAGAACUACAUCGGCAUCCCCAAUAAAGACCUUUUAAUCAGACUCUUUACAACCAUAGUGUUGUAGUAAUUCUAAAGUUCUACGGAAAAUAACAAGAUGAAUGCAUAAAGUUUCUGUCUACACCUAACUUACAUUCCCAAACUUUUAGGAUUUUGAUAUUUUAUUUUUUAUCUUCCUGACUUUCUCUGAUUACUUAUAUUGGUGUCCUGUACUUUUUCUAAACCACUUAAGAGUUUGUCUCAUUACACUUCUUUUUACCUCUCGGAAGGGUGAGAAUUUUCCAAACCUGAGUAACCAUUUUCUUAUGCAACCACGUGGUAUGAUUAUCAAACGUGGGACAUUUCCCAUUGAUGAAAUUGUUGUAGUAAAUAUUUAAAAUCCUGCCCUGAGGUUUCUACCCUACCUUUUAUGAUUUAUGUUCCUGGAUGAAAGGCACACUCACAGCCUGUAUAAUAAACCCUAAACAGCACAAUAGCUGGGCAGCUGCCUAUCUUCCAAGUUCUUAGAAUCUACUUUCCUAUCGAUAACCUCAAGUUAUUAUUUACUAUCUGCUGGGUUCUAUUUGGGCUACUCUUAACAACAAUUGGGCAGCUCUCAGGCCACGCUCUCUUAACUCAUGGUGAUGGCACCUCCCUCCUCUCCUGCACAUUUUUCUUCUCCUUCUCCUGACCUCAUGCCUAGGAAACCUAGACCCUUCUGCCCAGUCAUUGGCCAUCGACAUCUUUAUUUACCAAUCAGAAUUAACUUGGGGCUUUGGCUAUUCAUACUUUCCAGUUAUCCCAAUGAAGUGACGUGUAAGUUUUAUGCUCUCCCUCCCAUCCAGGUGCUAAGGUAACACCAUGGGUUGCACUUAGCUGUCGUGACCAUUUGAUCUCUGUUGCUCUAGAACCAUUCUUUUAUCUUUUCUUUGCUUUUCACACUGAAGCCAAUGGCUUUUCAUUUAGGUCUGCUGAUGUCUCCUAACACAUCUCUGGCCAGAACAAUGCAUAUGGAUGUGUGAUCUUCUCAUAUGUCCCUGGAAUAAGCUGUACACCCUUCUUUCAUGAUUGUAAUCCUGUUCACUUGACCCUAGUUGUCCAUUUUCUUCACUCUGGAGUUUCUGAGUUGCUCUUUGAAAGCAGAAUGCAGCCUACUUGGAGACUUCCUAAACCCAUCCAAGGACCCUGCUCUUCAUCACAGUUCUCUUCUCAUCUUGAGUCUAAUCAAGCUGUGCCACAGGGCUUGUGCCACCUUCCACCACCACCCCAGCUCCCCCACACUCUUUCC
Molecule: long non-coding RNA, 3888 nt
Filed under: Mus musculus (house mouse)
Lineage: Eukaryota; Metazoa; Chordata; Mammalia; Rodentia; Muridae
Description: predicted gene, 20139
Source: RNAcentral